AGGACGAACGCUGGCGGCGUGCUUAACACAUGCAAGUCGAGCGGAAAGGCCCUUCGGGGUACUCGAGCGGCGAACGGGUGAGUAACACGUGAGUAAUCUGCCCCUAGCUCUGGGAUAGCUCCGGGAAACCGGGAUUAAUACUGGAUACGACCACCUUAGACAUCUUCUGUGGUGGAAAGAAUUUCGGCUAGGGAUGAGCUCGCGGCCUAUCAGCUUGUUGGUGGGGUAACGGCCUACCAAGGCGACGACGGGUA
RNAcentral lists this ribosomal RNA (254 nucleotides) under uncultured bacterium. Its description in RNAcentral is "partial small subunit ribosomal RNA". It matches the Rfam family "Bacterial small subunit ribosomal RNA", at positions 26 to 285 of the family's 1533-position model. The record is from RNAcentral.